Molecule: ribosomal RNA, 492 nt
Filed under: uncultured bacterium
Lineage: Bacteria
Description: partial 16S ribosomal RNA
Rfam family: Bacterial small subunit ribosomal RNA
Source: RNAcentral
AGUGAACGCUGGCGGUAGGCCUAACACAUGCAAGUCGAACGGCGGCACAGUAAGAGCUUGCUCUUACGGGUGGCGAGUGGCGGACGGGUGAGGAAUACAUCGGAAUCUACUUUUUCGUGGGGGAUAACGUAGGGAAACUUACGCUAAUACCGCAUACGACCUACGGGUGAAAGCAGGGGAUCUUCGGACCUUGCGCGAUUGAAUGAGCCGAUGUCGGAUUAGCUAGUUGGCGGGGUAAAGGCCCACCAAGGCGACGAUCCGUAGCUGGUCUGAGAGGAUGAUCAGCCACACUGGAACUGAGACACGGUCCAGACUCCUACGGGGGGCAGCAGUGGGGAAUAUUGGACAAUGGGCGCAAGCCUGAUCCAGCCAUACCGCGUGGGUGAAGAAGGCCUUCGGGUUGUAAAGCCCUUUUGUUGGGAAAGAAAAGCAGCAGGUUAAUACCCCGCUGUUCUGACGGUACCCAAAGAAUAAGCACCGGCUAACUUCGUG